RNAcentral lists this ribosomal RNA (406 nucleotides) under uncultured bacterium. Its description in RNAcentral is "bacterial SSU rRNA". It matches the Rfam family "Bacterial small subunit ribosomal RNA", at positions 355 to 775 of the family's 1533-position model. The record is from RNAcentral.
UGGGGAAUAUUGGGCAAUGGGCGAAAGCCUGACCCAGCAACGCCGCGUGAGGGAAGAAGGUUUUCGGAUUGUAAGCCUCUGUCCUUGGGGACGAAAAAAAUGACGGUACCCAAGGAGGAAGCCCCGGCUAACUACGUGCCAGCAGCCGCGGUAAUACGUAGGGGGCGAGCGUUGUCCGGAAUUACUGGGCGUAAAGGGUGCGUAGGCGGUUGUCUAAGUCAGAUGUGAAAUCCCCGGGCUCAACUCGGGUGGUGCAUUUGAAACUGGGCAACUAGAGUGCAGGAGAGGGAAGCGGAAUUCCUAGUGGAGCGGUGAAAUGCGUAGAUAUUAGGAGGAACACCAGUGGCGAAGGCGGCUUUCUGGACUGUAACUGACGCUGAGGCACGAAAGCGUGGGGAGCAAACAG